Molecule: long non-coding RNA, 340 nt
Organism: Erpetoichthys calabaricus (reedfish)
Lineage: Eukaryota; Metazoa; Chordata; Cladistia; Polypteriformes; Polypteridae
Exons: 2
Source: RefSeq, a predicted model, not a curated record
CAAUUCAUAAUUCCAAUGUACAGUAAUUUAAAACAAGCAAAGGGCACAUUCAGAUUCAAGUUGUCCAUUUCCUGUACCUAACCUUGUCAAUACAGGGUCACAGGGAAUCCUGGAAUGGGAUGCAAGUCUGAAUGUGGCUGGCACAAGGCUGAACCAGCCCAGACUCACCAAGUCACUUAACUCAUUGUUUCUUUUGUGAGGGGUCGCUACAUGAUUGUGCAGUAAAAGCGACAAGUUCAUCCAAGUGUGAAUUCUGGGUCGAUUGACAUGCCACCCACUCUUUAGCAUGCUGUUUCCUACACCACUGAUGCAUCACAGAUUCCUUUCUCUUAAAAAUAAA